CAGAUAAAAGUACAGCUUAAGCUAAGUUCUUUACAAACCACAGACGAGAGACUGAGGCCUUGACCAAUGUGAACCUUACCGAAACGAUGCUAGAGUAAGAACUGAGCACGUGUAAAGAUGGGGACCUGGUCGCUUCCAUGUUUAAAUGAUUAGAAGGCCCGAGAGCACAGAGGAAGGAACGGGGAGAGAGGCCAGUGCACUCCUGGCCACAGGGCCCCCUCCUCCAGCCUCCACCAGGGGAUCACAGGCAUCCAACUCGAAGAAAAGCCUUUUUGAGGCACAUCCCCCCUUCCGGGCUUGGUCACCCUGUGGUGAGGUGGAGGGGCCCAGACACAUUUGCACAUCUGGUUCUGAUGAGGGAAAACCCACCCAAGGCAGAGUGGCUUCAGUUUCCCAGAACAGCUGUUGCCCUCUCCUUCUUCUGGAAAAGUCCUUCUCCUCCUCCCAUAAGGAAGGAUCCCAGGCCUGUUCUCUGUAGGAAAUGUGCUCUCAAUAAUGUUCACCAUCAAAUGAAAACACAACUAUCCCCUUGUUCAAGAGAAUGAGAACCACUCACAGUAAUGUCGAGAUUCUGUUAAAACAGAGUAUUUCCUUCCCUACUUUUCCAGAGCAAACUACCAUUUUGGAACCCUUCGCAUGCUGUCUGAGAAUGACAGAAUGUGUCACUGACAGCAAGGGCUUGGCGACAAGUUCGUGGCGGGACUUCUACAGAAUGAACUGGACUUUCUGUACCUGCGUUCCCUCACCUGUAAAACUAGGGACAGGGCUCGGAUGGAAUAUUCUGGAAUUUCAGAAUAACGCAGCACAAGCCUCCGGCUGUAAAGUCCAUUCUCAAAGCAUUUAGCUUUGAGGCUGUCAGAGAAUGAGCUCGAAUUCAAGGUGCUGCAGAACUGAAAGGAACCAAGAGCUCUAUUGGUCCAAAUCCCUGCAUGUCAGGUGUGAUGGUCGUGCUUAUGUGUCCGCUUGGCUAGGCUAUUGUACCCAGUAAUUUAAUCAAACUUGAAUCUAGGUGUUGCUCUGAAGGUAUUUUUGUAGAUGGGGUUCACAGUUAUAAUCAUUUUUUAGUAAGUGAGGAAGAUUGCCCUCAAUAAUGUGGGUGGGCCUCAUCUUACAGUUGCAGGUCUUGAAAGGCAAAAUCAGAUUUUUGAAAGAAGAAAUUCUGCUUCAAGACUGUAACAUAGGGGGCACCUGGGUGGUUCAGUUGGUUGAGCGUCCAACUUCGGCUCAGGUCAUGAUCUCGUGGUUUGUGGGUUCAAGCCCCAUGACGGGCUCUGAGCUAGCUUGGAGCCUGGAGCCUGCUUCCGAUUCUUUGUCUCCCUCUCUCUCUGCCUCUCCCCUGCUCAUGCUCUGUCUCUCUCUCUCUCUUUCAAAAAUACAUUUAAAAAAUUAUAUAUUUUUUAAAAAUACUGUUAACAUAGAAACCCUGCCUGAGUUUCCAGCCUAGUGGCCUCCUCUGCAGAUUUUGAACUUACCAGUUCCUAUAAUUGCAUAAGCCAAUUUCUUAAAUCUCUUUUCAUAAGGUAGGUGGUCCUAGAUUGUUAUUGCUAAGAAACUGACAAGCCCAGGGCCCAGCUCUCCUUGGGCUCUACCUCUUUCCUGUUCUUCCUACCAGGACAUACCUCUCAUCCAGUUACUGCCCUACAACCUAAAACCUUACUUUAAACUGAACUUCCCUUCCCGAAAGAAUUUAGAUCCUUCUAGCAGAGCAGCAUUUUUCUCUGCGAGGCGUGGACACAAAUACUUCUUAUACCGCCCCCCAAUACAUACAUAUGCAUGCAAACAUGUUUAGCAUGUAAUGAAACAAAAAUUUCCUGAAAUGAUAUUUCUCAGAUGCAAUACAUUCGAUCACUUCUAUUUUAUUGUACUUCACUUUUGAAAAAUGUUAGUCCUAUGCUCUAGGUUGCUUGUUUGAGCCAAAAUUGCCCACGAUGGCCGAUGUGUCUGGUGCCUGUAACACAUCUCCCUCAGUCACAGCUGUGCUGGAAAGUUCUGUGUGAGCUCAGGCUCACUUCACUCACGGCAUCUCACUCCAGGCAUGGGGUGCACAGACCCCGGGCCCCUGUGGCGGUCCCUUUGGCUCCUAACCAAGUACAGCCUGGAAGUGUGGGGCAGCCCUCAGUCGGUGGGGAGAAGAGCUGGUCGGUGGGUGGCCCAGCCCCCACCUUCAAACAGAGCACCUGCAGAAGCAUUCUGUAUGCUUCUCAAGAGGACCACAGCAGCGACCUUGACAAUGCUCCUUAUGUUAGCUCCCCUUUCCCUGCCUCCCCUGUCCUGUUGCAAACUAUGGGCUCCUGGCAUCGCCUCCCAGAUCAAUCACUUGCCCCGACUCUAGGCUUCAAGGCUUUACUUUCAAGAAAAUUCAAACUCAGACCCAUCCUUCUCCUCACUGUAGGAACCCUCUACGACUCCCUUCGGACGGUCACCGUGUAUUUGCUGGUAUCUCCAGGGAUGACAAGCGUUCUUAUUUCCUCAGCUCAGUCUUCUCAUUGCCGGACAAGUCAGGGGGACGGAAGUGAGACAGAGGGCAUCCAGGACUUCCCACGGGUCGAGCGCCGUGCUACUGUAUUCUUUCACUCUCUUUGUUAAAAGGCUUUCUCUCUAACAUCUUCGCUGGAUCAUUUUAUAAGGAUCAAAUUCAUCUCGAAACCACUGCCGUUACUUUAAUGACACCUUUCUGGAGACCCCAGCAGAGCACAGACCUUGCGUAUAAGGAAGUAGCCGAGCUGAGACUGAUGGUUCCAAACAGCACAGUGAACCAGCUGGGGAACGAGUGGGGGAUCCAAGCGCUUCCCCACCCGAACCUAGGAACUCAGGACGCCACUUCCGGGAGGCCUCACCUGGAUGCCCACUUCCCCUGGCUCAGGAGUUGGAGGCACUUCGACAGGAACUCUAGGGGCCUCUGGACUACAGGUAUGCUUAGAAAACACCUCUCUUUUAAAAAGCAAGCUCACGGGGCACCUGGGUGGCUCAGUCGGUGGAGCAUCUGACUUGGGCUCAGGCCACGAUCUCACGGUUCCUGAGUUCGCGCCUGGACUCGGGCUCUGUGCUGACAGCUUGGAGCCUACUUCCAAUUCUGUCUCCCUCUCUCUCUCUCUCUCUCUUUCUCUCUGCCCCUUCCCUGCGCAUGCUCUCU
Acinonyx jubatus (cheetah) is the source of this 3133-nucleotide long non-coding RNA. RefSeq lists it as uncharacterized. The transcript is spliced from 3 exons. The record is from RefSeq and is a predicted model, not a curated record. Lineage: Eukaryota; Metazoa; Chordata; Mammalia; Carnivora; Felidae.